RNAcentral lists this ribosomal RNA (271 nucleotides) under uncultured archaeon. RNAcentral describes it as "partial 16S ribosomal RNA". It matches the Rfam family "Archaeal small subunit ribosomal RNA", at positions 477 to 747 of the family's 1478-position model. The record is from RNAcentral.
CGGCGCCACAAGUGGCAUCCAUAUUUACUUGGCCUAAAGCGUCCGUAGCCGGUUUGGUAAAUCUCUUGUGAAAUCGUUAAGCUCAACUUAACGACGUGCAGGAGACACUGCCAAACUUGGAACCGGGAGGAGUCAGAAGUAUUCCUUGGGGAGCGGUAAAAUGCUAUAAUCCUUGGAAGACUACCUGUGGCGAAGGCGUCUGACUAGAACGGAUUCGACGGUGAGGGACGAAAGCUAGGGGAGCGAUCCGGAUUAGAUACCCGAGUAGUCC